This 480-nucleotide ribosomal RNA is filed under the name Streptococcus infantis. RNAcentral describes it as "bacterial SSU rRNA". It matches the Rfam family "Bacterial small subunit ribosomal RNA", at positions 28 to 493 of the family's 1533-position model. The record is from RNAcentral. Lineage: Bacteria; Bacillati; Bacillota; Bacilli; Lactobacillales; Streptococcaceae.
GACGAACGCUGGCGGCGUGCCUAAUACAUGCAAGUAGAACGCUGAAGGAGGAGCUUGCUUCUCUGGAUGGGUUGCGAACGGGUGAGUAACGCGUAGGUAACCUGCCUGGUAGCGGGGGAUAACUAUUGGAAACGAUAGCUAAUACCGCAUAACAGUAGAUAUCGCAUGAUAGCUGCUUGAAAGGUGCAAUUGCACCGCUACCAGAUGGACCUGCGUUGUAUUAGCUAGUUGGUGAGGUAACGGCUCACCAAGGCAACGAUACAUAGCCGACCUGAGAGGGUGAUCGGCCACACUGGGACUGAGACACGGCCCAGACUCCUACGGGAGGCAGCAGUAGGGAAUCUUCGGCAAUGGACGGAAGUCUGACCGAGCAACGCCGCGUGAGUGAAGAAGGUUUUCGGAUCGUAAAGCUCUGUUGUAAGAGAAGAACGAGUGUGAGAGUAGAAAGUUCACACUGUGACGGUAUCUACCAGAAAGGAC